Molecule: microRNA, 23 nt
Filed under: Schistosoma japonicum
Lineage: Eukaryota; Metazoa; Platyhelminthes; Trematoda; Strigeidida; Schistosomatidae
Description: miRNA-3107
Source: RNAcentral
UGGUCAGUGGACGUAAUGGGUUU